RNAcentral lists this ribosomal RNA (678 nucleotides) under uncultured bacterium. Its description in RNAcentral is "bacterial SSU rRNA". It matches the Rfam family "Bacterial small subunit ribosomal RNA", at positions 47 to 745 of the family's 1533-position model. The record is from RNAcentral.
CUUAACACAUGCAAGUCGAACGGACUUAAGGGGCUUGCUUCUUAAGUUAGUGGCGCACGGGUGAGUAAUAUAUAGCUAACCUGCCCUUUAGUGGGGGACAACAGUUGGAAACGACUGCUAAUACCCUAUACUCCUUCUUACUAUAAGGUAAGUUGGGAAAGAUUUAUCGCUAAAGGAUGGGGCUUUAUUGUAUCAGCUAGUUGGUGGGGUAAUGGCCUACCAAGGCUAUGACGCAUACCUGGUCUGAGAGGAUGAUCAGGCACACUGGAACUGAGACACGGUCCAGACUCCUACGGGAGGCAGCAGUGGGGAAUAUUGCACAAUGGAGGAAACUCUGAUGCAGCAACGCCGCGUGGAGGAUGACGCAUUUCGGUGUGUAAACUCCUUUUAUAGGGGAAGAUAAUGACGGUACCCUAUGAAUAAGCACCGGCUAACUCCGUGCCAGCAGCCGCGGUAAUACGGAGGGUGCAAGCGUUACUCGGAAUCACUGGGCGUAAAGGAUGCGUAGGCUGGAAAUCAAGUCGAGAGUGAAAUCCAACGGCUCAACCGUUGAACUGCUCUCGAAACUGGUUACCUAGAAUAUGGGAGAGGUAGAUGGAAUUAGUGGUGUAGGGGUAAAAUCCGUAGAUAUCACUAGGAAUACCGAUUGCGAAGGCGAUCUACUGGAACAUUAUGACG